Molecule: long non-coding RNA, 630 nt
Organism: Xiphophorus hellerii (green swordtail)
Lineage: Eukaryota; Metazoa; Chordata; Actinopteri; Cyprinodontiformes; Poeciliidae
Exons: 2
Source: RefSeq, a predicted model, not a curated record
GCUACAGACAACAACAUCAGGACAAAUAAAAUUGGCAAUCAGGAGAACUACUAUGUUUCUUUACUCUAACACCCCUGAACCAUGUGACUGAGUAUGUGACCAACUUCUAAAGAACUUAACGGUCCAUUCAUUUAAACCAGGCGAACUGAAGCAGGAAAACAUAUAAAAGGUCCUUAAAAGUACUGACAUAAAAAAACAUCAAAUUUUAUUUCAUUCAAUCAAUCUAUCGUUUUCUAUACAACUGACUGACUCACUUAAACUACACUCUGCAAUGUGUAGGUAACAUUAAAAUAGCUGAAACUGGCAUUUUAGGACGGUGUAUCGAUGUUUGGGGACAUAAUUCAGGUUUCUUAACUCUAUAACUACUGACAAGUUUAUAUUUAGAUAUUUUCAUCCAGGGUUUCCUUCCUUUGAGUUAGGACAUUCUCAUUCACCUUCCCCUGGGAAGAAAAACACUGCAGUUUGGCAAACAUGGGCUAUAUUUACACACAGCACUGGAGAUAUCCAUUUCUUUAACAUGAACUUUAACAUGAACUGCUAAGAUGUCUCUCAGUGGUGAGGCUCGAAUAACAGCUAUUCCAACUGGUAGAAAAGUAGCAGCUUUAACAACAACAAAAAAAAACUCAAAAG